GGCCAGACUCCUACGGGAGGCAGCAGUGGGGAAUAUUGCACAAUGGGGGGAACCCUGAUGCAGCGACGCCGCGUGGGUGAAGGAGCACCUCGGUGCGUAAAGCCCUAUCGGCAGGGAAGAAAAGCGAACAGGUUCGCCUGGACGGUACCUGACUAAGAAGCCCCGGCUAACUACGGGCCAGCAGCCGCGGGAAUACGUAGGGGGCAAGCGUUAUCCGGAUUUACUGGGUGUAAAGGGAGCGUAGACGGCAUAGCAAGUCUGAAGUGAAAGCCCAAGGCUCAACCAUGGGACUGCUUUGGAAACUGUUAAGCUAGAGUGCUGGAGAGGUAAGCGGAAUUCCUAGUGUAGCGAUGAAAUGCGUAGAUAUUAGGAAGAACACCAGUGGCGAAGGCGGCUUACUGGACAGUAACUGACGUUGAGGCUCGAAAGCGUGGGGAGCAAACAGGAUUAGAUACCCCCGUAA
RNAcentral lists this ribosomal RNA (463 nucleotides) under uncultured bacterium. RNAcentral describes it as "bacterial SSU rRNA". It matches the Rfam family "Bacterial small subunit ribosomal RNA", at positions 329 to 793 of the family's 1533-position model. The record is from RNAcentral.